This 103-nucleotide transfer RNA is filed under the name Candidatus Aenigmatarchaeota archaeon. Its description in RNAcentral is "tRNA-Met". It matches the Rfam family "tRNA". From Rfam's summary of the family: Transfer RNA (tRNA) molecules are approximately 80 nucleotides in length. Their secondary structure includes four short double-helical elements and three loops (D, anti-codon, and T loops). Lineage: Archaea; Nanobdellati; Candidatus Aenigmatarchaeota. The record is from RNAcentral.
GCCGAUGUGGCUCAGGGGUUAGAGCGCUGCGCUCAUAACGCAGAGGUCGCGGGUUCAAGAGGGAGCUAACGCUUCCGGCUGUUUGAGAUUCCCGCCAUCGGCA